RNAcentral lists this non-coding RNA (21 nucleotides) under Arabidopsis thaliana (thale cress). Lineage: Eukaryota; Viridiplantae; Streptophyta; Magnoliopsida; Brassicales; Brassicaceae. The record is from RNAcentral.
CCAUCUAGUAGCUGGUUCCCU